This is a long non-coding RNA of Gasterosteus aculeatus aculeatus (three-spined stickleback), 618 nucleotides long. Lineage: Eukaryota; Metazoa; Chordata; Actinopteri; Perciformes; Gasterosteidae. The record is from Ensembl.
UUUUUUUUUUCAAACUAUCGGCGCAAAUCCGUCCUCUCUCCACGUGACGGUCCGAGCCCGCGACGACCAAUGCGGAGCUGAACUUACUGGAGGAGCUGCACCAUAUGAGCUGCACCGAAUCUCUGCACCGUUUAUCAGCCUUCUUGUGCUUGACACGCUCAUUUGAUGAGUAAUAUUUGACUCUUGUUUAGACCGUUUUCUUUCUGCUCAGCAUAUAGUGAUCAAUCCACAGUUCCCUUAAUGUCCAGCCGCAUAAAUUUUUAAGAAGACAAAAAAAACUUCCUAUGCAGUGGACGUGUAAGUACUGCACAUUUUGUGCUGAAGAGAGGGGCUAUUUACUUAAGCGUAAUGCAUCGGUGCCACACCCGAAUAUCACCACUACCCUGCCUUUUUAUACUAACCCAUAGCCUUAGCCUUAUUCUUACUAACCCAUUGCAUUAGCAUUCCAUUCCACUUUAUUUUAUUACUUGUGCACUGUUGUCUUGUCUGUCUACUGUCGCGCACUAAUCGCCAAGACAAAUUCCUUGUAUGUUUGACAUAUUUUGGCUAAUAAAUGUUUCCUGAUUCCUGAUUCAUAAGGAGUGUCUGUGCACAUUUAAAUCUUUCAAUGCACUCAAA